UAGGGGUUCUGAGAGGAAGGUCCCCCACAUUGGAACUGAGACACGGUCCAAACUCCUACGGGAGGCAGCAGUGAGGAAUAUUGGUCAAUGGACGAGAGUCUGAACCAGCCAAGUAGCGUGCAGGAUGACGGCCCUAUGGGUUGUAAACUGCUUUUGCGCGGGGAUAACACCCUCCACGUGCUGGGGGUCUGCAGGUACCGCGCGAAUAAGGACCGGCUAAUUCCGUGCCAGCAGCCGCGGUAAUACGGAAGGUCCGGGCGUUAUCCGGAUUUAUUGGGUUUAAAGGGAGCGUAGGCCGUGAGGUAAGCGUGUUGUGAAAUGUAGGCGCCCAACGUCUGCACUGCAGCGCGAACUGCCCCACUUGAGUGCGCGCAACGCCGGCGGAACUCGUCGUGUAGCGGUGAAAUGCUUAGAUAUGACGAAGAACCCCGAUUGCGAAGGCAGCUGGCGGGAGCGUAACUGACGCUGAAGCUCGAAAGCGCGGGUAUCGAACAGGAUUAGAUACCCUGGUAGUCCGCGCGGUAAACGAUGGAUGCCCGCUGUGGCGCGCCUGGCGUGCCGCGGC
RNAcentral lists this ribosomal RNA (565 nucleotides) under uncultured bacterium. RNAcentral describes it as "bacterial SSU rRNA". It matches the Rfam family "Bacterial small subunit ribosomal RNA", at positions 284 to 847 of the family's 1533-position model. The record is from RNAcentral.